Molecule: long non-coding RNA, 1438 nt
Filed under: Mytilus galloprovincialis (Mediterranean mussel)
Lineage: Eukaryota; Metazoa; Mollusca; Bivalvia; Mytilida; Mytilidae
Source: RNAcentral
GGUUGUAAUCUUCUUCUUCGUUACAUACAUUACAUAGAUUGUCAUUCGUCUGUUUCCAUUUAAACAAUAAUUGUUUUGUUGGUAAUAUAAAUUGUAAAAGUUUCCAUCUAUAUAUUUUUAACUUAUUUUCUUCUAAAUAAUGAAACAUGAAAACAUAUAGUUGGUUAAUACUAAGGUUUUCAUUAGUUUGUAAAAUACGCAUCCAUUUGCUUACACCAAUUGAUGGUUCAGUUUUAUCUUUACAAAUUGACUUAUAUAAUAUAUUUGUUGAAAAAUUUGAAGCCUCAAUGUAAUUACCUUUCCAGAUUAGUUUCUGUCUCGGAAUAUUUACAAUACUUUUAAUAGAACUCUCAGACUGUAACAUCUGAAGCCAGUCUUUUGGAAUGGCUUUUUUUUAAAUAUUUAUUUCUGCAAUCCAAUUAAUCUUGCAUUCUAAUUUAUCCAAAAUAAAAUGUUGAGAUAUAUUGCCAGUGUCGUCUAUAAUAUCAUUGACAAAUAUCAAGUUACUCUUAAUCCAAUUUUCAAAAAUAAUAGUUUUAUUUUUAAAAUUAAUCUGUUUGUUCCCCCAAAUUACCUGUUUCCUUACUUCUGUGAAGUUGGUAGGUUUUUUUGUUUGUCCACCGCCUGAUAUUACCCAACAUUUAAAUACUUCUCUAUAAAAUUCAGGGAUAUGUUUGAUAUAGUCCAGAAUUUUCUUCUUUUCAAAAUUCAUCUUAAAAAUUAACCAAUUAAUACCAACCACGCUGAGAUAUUUUAAUGGAAUCAACUUCCAGUUUGAAAUAUCAUUACUAAUUAGUUUACUUACCCAAGAUGCUUUUAGAGACAUAAAAUAACUUUGUAUGUCGAUCAUUUGUAACCCCCCUUCUUCGUUUGACUUUAUCAUGGUAUUUCUUUUAACCUUAUCUGGUUUACCAUCCCAGAUGUAUUUAUAACAUUUACUUUCUAUGUCUUUUCUGAAUUUCUCUGGAACUGUACAGGCACUUGCCAAAAAUGUAAAAAGUGGUAAAACUAAUGUUUUUAUAAUAAGAAUUUUCCCGAUUAAAGUUAAAUUACGUUUCCCCCAUAAAUGAAAUAGUUUAUUCAUUUUCUCAAUUUUAUUCUCCCAGUUUAAUUUUUCACAUUCUUCUCUGUUAUGACCAAAAUAUAUUCCCAAUGCUUUGACUGGUUUGUUUGUCCAAUUAAUCCCAGCUACCUUAUCUUUACUAUUUUUCAGUUUUCCUAUCCAUAUACCCUCUGUUUUAUUUUUAUUCAAAGUUAACCCAGAAAAUGAUCCAAAAAUUUCUAUUUCAUUCAUAGCAGCUUUGAUUUCUUUCUUAUUACUGAGAAAUAAAGUAGUAUCAUCAGCUAAUUGUGAAAUUUUAAUUCUAUGAUUUUUAUUAUCUAGUUUAACUACGAACCCUUUGAUAUCUCUGUUUUUUCGAAGUCUUAAAGCCAUGAU